CCUACGGGUGGCAGCAGUGGGGAAUAUUGCACAAUGGGCGCAAGCCUGAUGCAGCCAUGCCGCGUGUGUGAAGAAGGCCUUCGGGUUGUAAAGCACUUUCAGCGGGGAGGAAGGCGUUAAGGUUAAUAACCUUGUCGAUUGACGUUACCCGCAGAAGAAGCACAGGCUAACUCCGUGCCAGCAGCCGCGGUAAUACGGAGGGUGCAAGCGUUAAUCGGAAUUACUGGGCGUAAAGCGCACGCAGGCGGUCUGUCAGGUCGGAUGUGAAAUCCCCGGGCUCAACCUGGGAACUGCAUUCGAAACUGGCAGGCUAGAGUCUUGUAGAGGGGGGUAGAAUUCCAGGUGUAGCGGUGAAAUGCGUAGAGAUCCGGAGGAAUACCGGUGGCGAAGGCGGCCCCCUGGACAAAGACUGACGCUCAGGUGCGAAAGCGUGGGGAGCAAACAGGAUUAGAUACCCGAGUAGUC
This 465-nucleotide ribosomal RNA is filed under the name uncultured Klebsiella sp. Its description in RNAcentral is "bacterial SSU rRNA". It matches the Rfam family "Bacterial small subunit ribosomal RNA", at positions 338 to 795 of the family's 1533-position model. Lineage: Bacteria; Pseudomonadati; Pseudomonadota; Gammaproteobacteria; Enterobacterales; Enterobacteriaceae. The record is from RNAcentral.